GGAGGGGGGGUUAGCGUUGUUCGGAAUUACUGGGCGUAAAGCGCACGUAGGCGGGACCAGAAAGUUGGGGGGUGAAAUCCCGGGGGGCUCAACCCCGGGAACUGCCUCCAAAACUAUUGGUCUAGAGUUCGAGAGAGGUGAGUGGAAUUCCGAGUGUAGAGGUGAAAUUCGUAGAUAUUCGGAGGAACACCAGUGGCGAAGGCGGCUCACUGGCUCGAUACUGACGCUGAGGUGCGAAAGUGUGGGGAGCAAACAGGAUUAGAUACCCUGGUAGUCCACACCGUAAACGAUGAAUGCCAGUCGUCGGGUUGCAUGCAAUUCGGUGACACACCUAACGGAUUAAGCAUUCCGCCUGGGGAGUACGGUCGCAAAGAUUAA
Molecule: ribosomal RNA, 378 nt
Filed under: uncultured organism
Description: partial 16S ribosomal RNA
Rfam family: Bacterial small subunit ribosomal RNA
Source: RNAcentral